GAGAGAGAGAGAGAAAUGGGCCUUUUUCCCACCCAGUCCAACAGCUUAGGCUAUCUCCAACAAGAGAGUCUAAAGGGCCAAUUCUUAUAUUUUAGCCCUAAUAUGGUCUCCAACAAUAAAUUAUAAGAAAAUUAUAAGAGGGCCAAAGGGCCAUGAAAAGUGUAAUACCCCGAAAAUUUGAUAUUAGUUUCUAAUAUUAUUUGGGAGUUUUCGAGUUAGAAGUUGGUGUGUUUUGGAGGUUCGAAGAAAGAGCGGAAGUGUUCGGACGCGUUUUUACCCGAAAACGGUUUUAUGGUUUCGAAGGGUCAAGAGUUGACUUUUUAAUUUGUUGGGUUUCUCGAGAAACUUCCUUCACGGAAGUUGUAGAGCACGACGAUACGAGUUCGUAGACACGUGGCACGCGUAAAACGGACUUCGUAUGUGGAAGUUAUGGUCAACAGAAGUUCGUGGCUUUAUGGGUUGCUUGGGUUAAAUAAGAGAAGUUAGAGGGUUCUACUUCAUUUUUUCCGGAACCCAUUCUCCUCUCUCUUUUCUUCUCUCUCGCGACACCUUCACAGUCCGAGUUUCCCAGCCGACCCGACCCGGACCCGGUUGACCUGACCCGGAUUUUCCGGCCACCUCCGAAUGACCCAGACGACGGCACCAGUCGGGUUCUCUUCCUCUCCUCCAUCCGAGCUGCCCUGUGGUGGUGACUUGCGCCGUUUCAACCCCGAAUCGGUGACCCGAAGCUCGGAAGCUCGGGUUAGAGACCCGGUCGAGUUUCAGACCUCCGGCGGCGGCGACAAGGUGGGAGACUGUUCGGGAUAGGAGCCCCGUGGCGUCCUGGUCCGACUUCUGGUGGCCCUGGAGCGUGACUCUCGGUGUAGAGUGGUGGUGGUGGAAUUCGACAUUCCCGGCGAGUUUCCGGCGACUUCCCGGCCGUUUUGGUUUCGACCUCAGGUAUGGAAGUUGCUCUCCUUGCUCUGAGCUAUACUUUUGGUGUUGGAAGUUUGUCUGUUUUCAAAGGUUAGUGGGGUGGCGCGUGGGCCCCAUGCGCAGUCGCUAGGGGCAGCGCGUAGCGGCGCGUCCGUAGGUGGUUGUGGUGUUUGUGUUGUGGGUUAGGUAGUACUCGUUGAUACGAUCAUGUUGAUAUAUGGUUUGUAGGUUUUGGUUACCGAUGAUGCAUGCUAGGGUUUCCCUCUUGAAUGCUAGGUUUCGUUCGGUUUCCAUUUUUAAGUAUAGGUUUGUGGUUUUAUAAGUUGUGUAGGAUGUUCAGGCGACCUUUUCGAGGUAUAGGGAGAGGUUUUGUCUCGAGUGACAAGUUUGUGGGUUAGGACUUGAGUUUUGGUUCGAGUCGGUUUAUGUUGUUUUCAUAGUUGCUAAGGUUAACGUUUUUGUUAAUAGGAGACUUGUGGUGUGAUUUUGUGCUAUAUGCUUGUGUCGUGCGUGCGAAGACGCAGCUGGAUUUGAGGUGAGUAACAUCUCACCAGGGUCCACUUUCGGACCAUUUAUUUUAUAAUUAUUAUGAUGUGAUUGUGAUGUGUUUUUUUGAAGAUGAUUAUGAUGAUGAUUGUGAUGUUAAUGAUUAUGAUGAUUAUUGUUAUGAUGAUGAUGAGGUUAAUGAUAAUGAUGGAAAUGUUGAUGAUAUGAUGAUUACGAUGCAAUCAUUAUAUUGUGAGUAAAAUCUCACUAAGGUCCACUUUGUGGCCUAUUGAUUUUGAUAUGAUGUUGAUGAUAAUUAUUAUGAUAAUUAUUAGGAUGAUGAAUAUGAUGGUGGUCUUGAUGAUGAUGAUUUUGAUGAUGAUUUUGUUGAUGAUGAUGAUAAUUAUUGCUAAUUGUGAAGUUGUCCUUGAAAGAAAAUGAUUUGUUUUUAAAUAUAAAUGAGUUUGAUCGUCAACGGCUCAUGGUAAGUGAAAACAAGUUUUCUGUUAAUAAAAUAAUCUUUCAAAAGGACUUCCGAUCAUGAGUAAUAAUUAGAGUUGGUAGAAUUAUUCUUGUUUUAAAUAUUUAUAUCCACGUGUUUAUGGUGCUUUAGUGGUGAAUGUUGCAUUAGUUGUGAAUAUGUGUGCCUUAGUGGUGAGUGAGUGCAUUCGUUGUGGAUUUGUUGCCUUACUGGUGAAUGUUUGCAUUAGUUGUGGUUAUGUGCCUGUGUGGUGGUUUUGAGUAUUAGAAUAGGAGCCUUCGUGGUGGACCGGGAACCAAGCCUUGGCCGGGUGAUUGGUUACGGUCAGUUUUAGAGCUCUAGUCUGUCGGUACUUCAUGGGGGAUGACUAUGUGUUGACGAACCUAUGAGUACGUGUUUGUCUAGUUACUUAUGAGGGAUGACUAUGCGUUGACGAACUCAUAAGUAAGGGUUGAGAAAUGAUUGUGUGGUGUUAUUAUUUAAAUUUCUUGUUUUAAGAAUCUCCUGAACUAUGCUUAAUGCAAGAGAUUCUUUAGUUUUAUUUGUGUGAUUUUUUAGUAGAAUCCUGAACUACGCUUUUUGCAGGAUUUCAUUAUGAUUUGUUUGGUUUUGUAAUUGUUGUCGUUUUNNNNNNNNNNNNNNNNNNNNUUUUGUCUCGAAUGACAAGUUUGUGGGUUAGGACUUGAGUUUUGGUUCGAGUCGGUUUAUGUUGUUUUUGUUUGUGACUAAGUGGAGAUUCUAUUCUAGGUGGUUGACGAUACGUGUUCGCAUCUUGCCUUUUUGCUAAGAGAAGACGCAGCAGGAGUUUUUGUUUAAGGUGAGUAAAAUCUCACUAAGGUCCACUUUGUGGCCUAUUGAUUUUGAUAUGAUGUUGAUGAUAAUUAUUAUGAUAAUUAUUAGGAUGAUGAAUAUGAUGGUGGUCUUGAUGAUGAUGAUUUUGAUGAUGAUGAUAAUUAUUGCUAAUUGUGAAGUUGUCCUUGAAAGAAAAUGAUUUGUUUUUAAAUAUAAAUGAGCUUGAUCGUCAAUGGCUCAUGGUAAGUGAAAACAAGUUUUCUGUUAAUAAAAUAAUCUUUCAAAAGGACUUCCGAUCAUGAGUAAUAAUUAGAGUUGGUAGAAUUAUUCUUGUUUUAAAUAUUUAUAUCCACGUGAAUAUGUGUGCCUUAGUGGUGAGUGAGUGCAUUCGUUGUGGAUUUGUUGCCUUAGUGGUGAAUGUUUGCAUUAGUUGUGGUUGUGUGCCUGUGUGGUGGUUUUGAGUAUUAGAAUAGGAGCCUUCGUGGUGGACCGGGAACCAAGCCUUGGCCGGGUGAUUGGUUACGGUCAGUUUUAGAGCUCUAGUUUGUCGGUACUUCAUGAGGGAUGACUAUGUGUUGACGAACCUAUGAGUACGUGUUUGUCUAGUUACUUAUGAGGGAUGACUAUGCGUUGACGAACUCAUAAGUAAGGGUUGAGAAAUGAUUGUGUGGUGUUAUUAUUUAAAUUUCUUGUUUUAAGAAUCUCCUGAACUAUGCUUAAUGCAAGAGAUUCUUUAGUUUUAUUUGUGUGAUUUUUUAGUAGAAUCCUGAACUACGCUUUUUGCAGGAUUUCAUUAUGAUUUGUUUGGUUUUGAAUUGUUGCGUUUUCUUAAUUUCUUCUUUUCAUUUCUUUUGAUGGUAAGUGUUUUCCUGAAUUCAUUUUAAUGCAUGAACUCCCAGUUUUAUUCAUGUGUUGUUGGAUUGAGUCAUUUUUGUAGAUUUACUCAUACGAGCUUUUAAAUCUUACCGGGUUUGUUGUUUACAACCCGGUGCACCAAUCCAUGGUGUAGAGGUUGUUUUUGCAGGUCAGGUUUAGCAGAGUUGAGGCUGCGGCAGCUUCAUUUUGUUUACUUUCUAGUUUGCAGUGAGUUUGAGGGAGGUUUUAUUUGGUUCAAAUUAUUUUUCCACAAGUUGUAAAAAUAAAUUGUUGUAUUGUUUUUUAUGCUUUUUGGUUAUCAUGCCUUGAAUUUGGAAUUUUUUUUAUUUACCCAAAAUUCGGGGUGUGACAAAAAGGGCCAAACUUAGCCCUUUGGCUAGCCUAGUCCAGACCAAAGAGUGGUCUCUCAUCAGAAUAAAAAAUUAGAAUGAUACAUGUGGGUUGGCUGAAAUUGACUCUAAGUAUGACAAAUGGCGUAUGACAAAUGGCAGCAUUUAAUUGGUUAUACCCAUGCAUCAUAUUUCCCAACGGAAAAAUUUUCCAAUGCAAUUAUGGGGUUGUUUAAUAACGGCGACUAGUUGUUCAUUAAAUCAAAUAAACAAUAUUUUUUCUCUUAAAUAUUUUUCUUGGUCUAAAUCUAAAUAAUGUUAUAAUAAAAUAAAAUUAUAAGUUUGAAAAUAUAAUGUGAAAUCAUAAAAUAUUUGAUUGGGCAAAAAUUUAGCCCUCUCUUACUGGAGAUCGUUUAGUAGUCUAUAAAUAAAAAAUAAUAUUUUUGAGGGCUAAAUUAUAGCCAUGGCCCUAAUAUAGCCAUCUCCUACUGGAGAUGACUUUAAUACCCCAAAACAAAGCCUAAUAAAAAUUUACCCUUUUUACUUGAUAACUUUUACAUGCUAAUUUCGAUUUUAACGUAUAGCAUGUCCACG
Molecule: long non-coding RNA, 4473 nt
Filed under: Fragaria vesca (wild strawberry)
Lineage: Eukaryota; Viridiplantae; Streptophyta; Magnoliopsida; Rosales; Rosaceae
Description: long non-coding RNA (FVES_LNC005497)
Source: RNAcentral